GCGGGAAUAGCUCAGUUGGUAGAGCACAACCUUGCCAAGGUUGGGGUCGCGAGUUCGAAUCUCGUUUCCCGCUCCA
This 76-nucleotide transfer RNA is filed under the name Alteromonas sp. Its description in RNAcentral is "tRNA-Gly". It matches the Rfam family "tRNA". Rfam says of the family: Transfer RNA (tRNA) molecules are approximately 80 nucleotides in length. Their secondary structure includes four short double-helical elements and three loops (D, anti-codon, and T loops). RNAcentral also lists the same sequence under 297 other names. The record is from RNAcentral. Lineage: Bacteria; Pseudomonadati; Pseudomonadota; Gammaproteobacteria; Alteromonadales; Alteromonadaceae.